This 253-nucleotide ribosomal RNA is filed under the name uncultured bacterium. Its description in RNAcentral is "partial 16S ribosomal RNA". It matches the Rfam family "Bacterial small subunit ribosomal RNA", at positions 524 to 776 of the family's 1533-position model. The record is from RNAcentral.
CACGUACGGCGCAAGCGUUGUCCGGAAUUAUUGGGCGUAAAGAGCUCGUAGGCGGUCUGUUGCGUCCGCUGUGAAAACUCGGGGCUUAACCCCGAGCCUGCAGUGGAUACGGGCAGACUAGAGGUAGGUAGGGGAGAAUGGAAUUCCCGGUGUAGCGGUGAAAUGCGCAGAUAUCGGGAGGAACACCGGUGGCGAAGGCGGUUCUCUGGGCCUUACCUGACGCUGAGGAGCGAAAGCGUGGGGAGCGAACAGG